RNAcentral lists this ribosomal RNA (465 nucleotides) under uncultured bacterium. RNAcentral describes it as "partial 16S ribosomal RNA". It matches the Rfam family "Bacterial small subunit ribosomal RNA", at positions 28 to 507 of the family's 1533-position model. The record is from RNAcentral.
GACGAACGCUGGCGGCGUGCUUAACACAUGCAAGUCGAACGGAAAGGCCCCCUUGUGGGGUACUCGAGUGGCGAACGGGUGAGUAACACGUGAGUAACCUACCCUUGACUUUGGGAUAACUUCAGGAAACUGGGGCUAAUACCGGAUAGGAGCUCCUGCUGCAUGGUGGGGGUUGGAAAGUUUCGGCGGUUGGGGAUGGACUCGCGGCUUAUCAGCUUGUUGGUGGGGUAGUGGCUCACCAAGGCUUUGACGGGUAGCCGGCCUGAGAGGGUGACCGGCCACAUUGGGACUGAGAUACGGCCCAGACUCCUACGGGAGGCAGCAGUGGGGAAUAUUGCACAAUGGGCGGAAGCCUGAUGCAGCAACGCCGCGUGCGGGAUGACGGCCUUCGGGUUGUAAACCGCUUUCGCCUGUGACGAAGCGUGAGUGACGGUAAUGGGUAAAGAAGCACCGGCUAACUACGUA